UCCUACGGGAGGCAGCAGUCGGGAAUAUUGCGCAAUGGGCGAAAGCCUGACGCAGCCAUGCCGCGUGUGUGAAGAAGGCCCUAGGGUUGUAAAGCACUUUCAAUUGGGAGGAAAAGCUAAUGGUUAAUAACCAUUAGCCCUGACGUUACCUUUAGAAGAAGCACCGGCUAACUCCGUGCCAGCAGCCGCGGUAAU
RNAcentral lists this ribosomal RNA (195 nucleotides) under uncultured Gammaproteobacteria bacterium. Its description in RNAcentral is "partial 16S ribosomal RNA". It matches the Rfam family "Bacterial small subunit ribosomal RNA", at positions 337 to 524 of the family's 1533-position model. The record is from RNAcentral. Lineage: Bacteria; Pseudomonadati; Pseudomonadota; Gammaproteobacteria.